UACGGAGGGGGCUAGCGUUGUUCGGAAUUACUGGGCGUAAAGCGCGCGUAGGCGGCUUUGUAAGUCAGGGGUGAAAUCCCGGAGCUCAACUCCGGAACUGCCUUUGAUACUGGCGAUCUUGAGUCCGGGAGAGGUGAGUGGAACUGCGAGUGUAGAGGUGAAAUUCGUAGAUAUUCGCAAGAACACCAGUGGCGAAGGCGGCUCACUGGCCCGGUACUGACGCUGAGGAGCGAAAGCGUGGGUAGCAAACAGG
RNAcentral lists this ribosomal RNA (253 nucleotides) under uncultured bacterium. RNAcentral's name for it is "partial 16S ribosomal RNA". It matches the Rfam family "Bacterial small subunit ribosomal RNA", at positions 524 to 776 of the family's 1533-position model. The record is from RNAcentral.